AGAAAUUUAGGUUAACAUAGACCAAAGGCCUUCAAAGCCUUAAGCGAAGGU
This 51-nucleotide transfer RNA is filed under the name Lithobates pipiens (northern leopard frog). Its description in RNAcentral is "Rana pipiens (northern leopard frog) partial tRNA-Trp". It matches the Rfam family "tRNA", at positions 1 to 52 of the family's 71-position model. Rfam says of the family: Transfer RNA (tRNA) molecules are approximately 80 nucleotides in length. Their secondary structure includes four short double-helical elements and three loops (D, anti-codon, and T loops). Further hydrogen bonds mediate the characteristic L-shaped molecular structure. tRNAs have two regions of fundamental functional importance: the anti-codon, which is responsible for specific mRNA codon recognition, and the 3' end, to which the tRNAs corresponding amino acid is attached (by aminoacyl-tRNA synthetases). tRNAs cope with the degeneracy of the genetic code in two manners: having more than one tRNA (with a specific anti-codon) for a particular amino acid; and 'wobble' base-pairing, i.e. permitting non-standard base-pairing at the 3rd anti-codon position. The record is from RNAcentral. Lineage: Eukaryota; Metazoa; Chordata; Amphibia; Anura; Ranidae.